GGAAAUGUGCCCGAAUUACAAGGAUUACUUUGAUAGAGUAAAAUAGAGGGGCUCAACCCCCUCAUCUCCU
Molecule: transfer RNA, 70 nt
Filed under: Ablepharus sikimmensis
Lineage: Eukaryota; Metazoa; Chordata; Lepidosauria; Squamata; Scincidae
Description: tRNA-Ile
Source: RNAcentral